UACGUAGGGUGCAAGCGUUGUCCGGAAUUAUUGGGCGUAAAGAGCUCGUAGGCGGUUUGUCGCGUCGACUGUGAAACCCCGAGGCUUAACCUCGGGCCUGCAGUCGAUACGGGCAGACUAGAGUUCGGUAGGGGAGACUGGAAUUCCUGGUGUAGCGGUGAAAUGCGCAGAUAUCAGGAGGAACACCGGUGGCGAAGGCGGGUCUCUGGGCCGAUACUGACGCUGAGGAGCGAAAGCGUGGGGAGCGAACAGG
RNAcentral lists this ribosomal RNA (253 nucleotides) under uncultured bacterium. RNAcentral describes it as "partial 16S ribosomal RNA". It matches the Rfam family "Bacterial small subunit ribosomal RNA", at positions 524 to 776 of the family's 1533-position model. The record is from RNAcentral.